Molecule: ribosomal RNA, 449 nt
Filed under: uncultured bacterium
Lineage: Bacteria
Description: partial 16S ribosomal RNA
Rfam family: Bacterial small subunit ribosomal RNA
Source: RNAcentral
GUCGAGAAUCUUUCACAAUGGGGGCAACCCUGAUGGAGCGACGCCGCGUGGAGGAUAAGGUCUUCGGAUUGUAAACUCCUGUCAUGCGUGAACAAGGUUGCUUGGUUAAUACCUGGGCAAAUUGAUGGUAACGCAAGAGGAAGAGACGGCUAACUCUGUGCCAGCAGCCGCGGUAAUACAGAGGUCUCAAGCGUUGUUCGGAAUCACUGGGCGUAAAGGGUGCGUAGGGGGCGUGGUAAGUCAGAUGUGAAAGCCCGGGGCUCAACCUCGGAACUGCAUCCGAUACUGCCAUGCUAGAGUACUGGAGAGGUGACUAGAAUUCUCGGUGUAGCAGUGAAAUGCGUAGAUAUCGAGAGGAAUACCAAAGGCGUAGGCAGGUCACUGGACAGUUACUGACACUGAGGCACGAAGGCCAGGGGAGCGAACGGGAUUAGAAACCCGGGUAGUCC